GAUGAACGCUGGCGGCGUGCUUAACACAUGCAAGUCGAACGGAGUGCUCAUGAUGGAGGAUUCGUCCAACGGAUUGAGUUACUUAGUGGCGGACGGGUGAGUAACGCGUAUGCAACUUGCCUCUUAGUGGGGAAUAACCCGGAGAAAUCCGGACUAAUACCGCAUACACUUAGUUAUCCGCAUGGAUGAUUAAGGAAAGAUUUAUUGCUAAGAGAUAGGCAUGCGUUCCAUUAGUUAGUUGGUGAGGUAACGGCUCACCAAGGCAUCGAUGGAUAGGGGAGCUGAGAGGCUUAUCCCCCACAUUGGGACUGAGACACGGCCCAA
RNAcentral lists this ribosomal RNA (324 nucleotides) under uncultured bacterium. RNAcentral's name for it is "bacterial SSU rRNA". It matches the Rfam family "Bacterial small subunit ribosomal RNA", at positions 28 to 334 of the family's 1533-position model. The record is from RNAcentral.